CGGCAGAUACGGAGUAAAAUUACAUGUUCGUGUAGAGGUGGGUGGAACAGAGAAAACUGUACUGGCUUUCCUGCUCUCUUAUUGGUCGCGCUGCCUGUCAAAGUGGGUGAUUGACAUAUUUUAAAGCUCCUGUCAUUCAAACUAAGGAAUGCCCCUAAAUGGGUGGUGUCAUUGUGCUGGACUGCCCACAAAGGGGCGGUGAUAUGAUGUAUUAUGCUGAUCUGACCAAUGGUAUUUGUCAAAUGGUAUGAUGUCAUGCGUGGGUCCACCCACUAAUUACCAUGUCUUCGCCCUUUUUACGCAGGUGUCUGAUUUGGGCGGUACAUAGUGAUUAUGCAAAUCUUGAUUGUCAGCUUGCAUAAAUAUGAAUAAUUAUUUUUUAUUAGGCAGGUUUUUCGGUUGGUGUACUCAUUCCCUGGGGGAAGGAGUUACCGGAGAGAAGUUUUAUUACUUGAUUCUUACCUUGAUUUAGUCGGCCGUCAUCUGCCUCUGGUCGGAUUCGAACUCUGGCCCUUGACGUUGCUGGUCCUGCGCUGUACACGUCAAGCUGCCCUUCAUGCUACGACGGAAUGCUGGACCUCAUCUCGCUGCUGUUGCUUCUGAAUGAUCCAAGAAGAUUCCACAGGGACAGGUGGCUCACCGGCUGAGAGCGGACAACCGUCCCUGAGGUCUUCUGCUAAGAUGCCCACCGGAGCGAAAGGAACCAAGUAAAUCUCCCCAAUGUGGAUG
Molecule: long non-coding RNA, 729 nt
Organism: Spea bombifrons (plains spadefoot toad)
Lineage: Eukaryota; Metazoa; Chordata; Amphibia; Anura; Pelobatidae
Exons: 3
Source: RefSeq, a predicted model, not a curated record